GUGUUCACUUCAGCAGCAAAUAUACCAAAAUUGGAAUGAUACAGAGACGAUCAGCAUGGCCUCUGCACAAGGAAUGACACGAAAUUCAUGAGGCAUUUCAUGUUUAA
Small nuclear RNA from Nomascus leucogenys (northern white-cheeked gibbon), 107 nucleotides. Lineage: Eukaryota; Metazoa; Chordata; Mammalia; Primates; Hylobatidae. The record is from Ensembl.